GUUCGAAUUGGUAGCAUGUCCUCGAUCUUUUCCUUGUUCAGCCGACUCUGGAAUCUACACACAUUGAUCGUUUCUUGUACGGAGCAGUCCACUGCGCCUGCUGAGAUUUGGAGAAUGCCUCAACUUAGGCAUAUUAAAAUGACUGAAAGAAGUUUNUUUUACCGCAACAAUUUUCUACAAUCUUUUUCCCUGUAACCUCUUAUCACGCACAAUGAAAAAUAAUUAAGGGAUCUCAGCAUGAUUACAGUAAUAAUUUUCAUUGUGCAUUAUUUUUCACAGUCAGUCAAAAUAAUUGAAGUAUUAGCUUUAUUUCUUCUUCUUUUUUUCUACAUGUUUAUUUACGCAUUUUAUUAAUUUAAUUUAUAAAUCAUAGUGGUUCCUCUUCCUCUGGAGUCCAUUUAUUGGCAAAAAAUAUUAUUGUAGAAAUUUAUGAAUUGAAAUUUUUACUAUGAACUAGUAUGUGCCCGCUCGUGCGAUGCACGACCAUCAUCGAAAUUAGAACGAUAAUUUAAAUAAAUAAAUAAAAAUAGUUAAACAUAAUAUAUAUAUAUAUAUAAGUAAAUAUAAACAUAAAAUGAUCUCAAUAAAAAAUAAAAUUAUUCACAAUAUAAAUCUCAAUAAAAAAUAUCAAUCUGAAAACAUUCGAAUUUUCAAUUAUUGAAAUAGCAAUUAAUUGAUUUAAUUGAUAAUGUGUAUAAAUUUAUAAAUAAAUAAAUUAUGAAAUAUCAAAAGCAAGUAUAGAUGAUAAUGAGUAUCAUUAUGGAUCAUAUAAUAUUCUAAGAUGUACAAAACUAUUUAUUUACAUAUAGUAUAACUGUAGUUUAAUAUAGUUUUCGAAUGCAUAUUUAUGAGGUCAUUUUGUUUAUGCUCAAAUUUUAAAAUAAAGUUACAAUGUAUACAUUUUUUUUUUUCAAUUGGAAAGUGAAAAAAUAAAGGGUUUAACAUGAGAUAUGUGUCGUUCAUUUUCCAAAAUAAAAUGUAUACAAUUUCAGUAAAUUUAAAUAAAUGUGCUACUAAAAAAUUAAACUCUUCAAUUUACUUUUAUUUUUUAUUUUUAAAGAAAAUCGAUAAUGGUUCUCUAAUUACUGAUUUUCCAAUGAGUAAUUUUGAAGCUUAAAAAUUCGAUUUUUAAGAUAUACUAUAUAUUAGUUAUUUAUCUACAAAUUUAUAUUAAUAUAAAGUUGACCUUUAAAAAAUAUUUUUAAGCUAAAGAUUUCUAAAAUGAACAAAUAUAAGUUUCAUCAUUGUAAUUGCAUUAAACUGAUAUAAUAAAAAUAUAAAUAGUAAAAUAAUAUAAAAAUACUGAUCUAUAGUAAAAACAUAAAAAAUAAAAUAAAAAAUAUGGAAAAAGGAAUGAAAGAACCGUGAAUUUUAAAAAAUGAGAAAUGAGAGAGGAGAUGAUAGCGGAGAGAAGAGAGAGGAGAGAGAAAAAAAUUAUUUGGUGACUUUAAACUAUAAUAACUUAUUGGUUUUAAAUUUAUUUUUAUAAUUUUUACAUCAAAUUAAAGAUAUUCGUCAUUAUCUUUAAUUUUAACAUCCAUAUUGAAUAUUUUUUUAUAAAUUAAAGUUGAUGAAUUUAAAAGAAAAUCAAAUUGAAUAAAUAUAUUUGUAAUAUUGUUUUCUAAGUAAUUAAUAUAUUUUGUUGAAUUAGUGUGAACGUGUGAAAUGAGUUAGUGGUGUUAAUAAUUUUUUUAACCUUCAUAUUAAAAGUAUUAUCAAAAUUGCCAUUCAAAUCAAUUUCAAAUUGAUUUGAAAUCAAUUUCUAAUUGAAAACUGCUGUUUUAAUAUAACUAGUAUUUGCAUCCCGUGCAAUGCACGGUAAAAUAUUUUUUAUUUUUUAAAUUUAUAUAUAAAUUAAUACUAAUUUAAUUAUCAUACUCAUGAAUAUAAUAAAAUUUAAAUUUAACUAAAUAUAUUUGAAUUUAAUAUUAAAACAUAAAAUAAUUUACAAUUAUAAAAUUUGAUAUUAUGAAAGUAAAAAAAGUUAAAAAAUAAAAAAUACUAAUAUAAAAGAAUUAAAAAUAUUUUUUUUCAAAAACAUGAGAGAUGAGAGAGAAAUUUAUAAGAUUUUAAUAUUUAAACAAAUUUAAUUUGUAUAUUUUAAAUCAAAUAUUUACAUAAAAUAUAUCAAAUUAAAGCUCUUAUCGUGAUCUUUAAUUUGAUAUGCAUAUUGAAUAUUUUAUAAUUAAUCGAAUUUCACAGUUUUGGAAAUAAAUUAAAACAACAAAUCAGAAGUUAAAGAAAUGGAAAAUAAAAAGAAUAAUAUAGUUAAAACAUAAACCUUCAAUUUUAUUAUAACUACAAAAUUGCCAUUCAAUUUUGAAAUUGAUUUCCAAUUGGAAACUGCCUUUUUAAUAUAGUAUAGAUAUAGAUUAGUUUAAAUUUUAAGCAUCAAAUUGAUAUCUUAAACAUCCAGUACGAAUCCAAAUGUAAAUAUUCAAUAGAUGAGCAUAGAAUUGUGUCGGUAAUGUGAAAUAAUAUGCAGUGAAGUUCAUUCACUAGCCCAAGAUCAAAACCAUAAUUAAGGCGCCAAGGAUAAGCUUUGAAGAAUGAAAAUAGACAAAAGAUAAUAGCAGUGUUGGAGGCAAAAAAUGGAGAGUCUGUUUUCUUUCGGUUCAGUAGUUGUGUUGAAGACAAUUAAUCCUCUCCAUCUUUUUAAUUGAAGCUCUUUUUCUUCGUAAAAAAAAAGUUGUGUUGAAGACAUACAAAAGGAAUUAAAAAGGCCUACAGAAUAUUCUAGGCUACAACAUAAAGACCCAAAUAAAGAUUUAGAGAAACUAGGCAACAAUAAGACAAAUUAAAUGAACAUCAACAUUAAUUGAGACUUGGGUGCUUUAGGAAAAUCAGCUUUAACUUUCAACAGGUAAAACAUCGUUGAAUCUUUUAAAUACUUUAAAUAAAAAUAUUACAAAUUCAAAGGAUUUGUUUGUUAAAAAUAUAAUAAUUUAAAUGAAGACAAAUACAAAAUUAAAAGGAAAAACUAAUGUAUUGUUUCUUUUUUCUUUUCUAUUUUAGAUUUGGGACGAGAGAACAUAGGAUUGAACUCCAAUUAUUAGCUUAUUAAGCAGAUAAAAAGCGCCAAUAAUUUCAUUUAUCAUUUAAAAUAAAAGGAAAACCACAAUUCGGCACCUAGAAGAAGGAAGAGAGCGAGAUAUGGAACAUUAAUACUCAAAUUAGUAUUCCACAACUGAAUUCCUCAUCAAUCAAACUACAAGUUUAAGCAUGUCCUACAUGAAAGUUGGGAGUUGCCAAGCUCCGCAGUUCUUGGCUGACAUUGUAUGACUUAACUCGAACAUGGAAGGAUGGCUCCCCUUGUAACUCCUCUUGUUCGUCUACUAUCCUUUUCAAAGACAUAGCCAUCGAUUCACUGCACUCCGCCAAUUCAAUUGAUCUGAGUGUUGCUAUUUCUCCAAUUUCUGAAGGGAACGCCUUCAACAACCGCAUGCUUUUGAGACGAAGUUGCUCGAGGCGCGGCAAGCAAGAGCCCUCUAACGUCCAACAUUCCAUAUUCGCACACUCAUCCAAACUCAAGUAUUUGAGGCACGGGAAUCGGCCUUCAACUAUUUUCCAACUGGGUGGCAAACCGACCAUGUUCCAGUUCCAGUUGAAGUUCUCAAGAAGUGGUAACCAACCUAGAUGUUCCAGAAUUUCCUCAAUAUGGACGUCACAGCUAAGAAACACUUCUUGAGUGAGUUUGGGAAGAUAAUAUUUGCAAAUACCAUCAAUUCCAUACUAAUAUAGCACUUAAGCUUUCCAGUUUACUCAGAAACCGAACAUACCUUAGGCACUUCCCUCUGUCCAUUAGUUUAUCCCAGUAACUUAUAUACAAUUUGAUAUUGGGUAUUCUUUUAACCAAUGCUUCAUUCAAGUUAAAUCAAACCUCUUUAGGUCUCUAGAUUCUCCAUGAUAACAUUAUCAUCACUCGGAGGAUCUGGGAGAUACAUUCCUCCAAAUGCACUCGAAUGCUUAAGCUGAUGCAUUUUCCAAAUUUCUGUGGUGCAGUAAGUUCCUCAUCAUAAAUAGUAAUUAGUGUAUGUAGAUUCCAUAGGAAAAUUGAUUGAAGAAGGGAUGGGGACUCCUCAAGACAUCUUCUCGAAACUCCAAUCGAAAGGUACCUAAGUUCAUCAAUGAAACACAUUUUUUAGGUAAGACUCAUGGAUAUACGCAUGUAUAGUCAGAAUCCUCAACAGCCUACAAUUUAGCAAUUGCCGAACUAUAUCAUAAGGACGUUCAUGAUGACGGCCAAGUAAUAAAGAUAGGUAAGAACGAGCAAGUGGCAUAGAUUCCAAGGCAUCACAGACAUUCUCAUCUAAAAUCAUUUUGGGAAGAAUGUGGCGUUGGCUAUUUGUGACUCGGGGAAUAACAAUGCGGCGUUGGCUACUUAUGCCUCGAGGACAAUGUUGCCCUAAGACAUAAUAAAACCUCUGCUUUUCAGCUCUUUCAAAGAUAGAUCUCUCAGUAGAUCAUGCAUUUUGCAUACUUUAUAUUCCCAAGUUUCCCCAACUCAUUAACUAGAACGAGAUUUCUAUCAACUAGACUCCUUACAGAUACUCUUUGGCAACAGUUUCCAAGCUCUUAUUAGUAAUUGGUUUAAGAAAUCCUUCAUAAACCCAUCUCUUGAUGAUAUCUGAGACUCUAAUUUUCUCAUCUUCCCCAAACACUCCCAUAUACAGAAAACAAGGCUUCAGAUAGGCAGGCAAAUGGUCAUAGCUCAGUUUCAAUACUCUUAACCAAUAUUCAUCAUUCUCAGAAUUCACUAUUGAGCUUAAAUUUUUCUCUAUGUGCUCCCAAUAUUCUAGUGUAAGUUCGGACUUUGCCAAAAGACCCCCAACCACAACAAUCGACAAAGGAAGUCCAUAACACUUUUCCACAAUUUUCUUUCCAAUUUCCUCAAGUUGUGGAGGAAACCCCUCAUCCCCAAACACAGUUUUGGAGAACAAGUUCCAGCUACUAACAUCAUCUAAGAGUCGCAUACCAUGCUGUUAGAGUCUGUCAACACGGCAGCCAAGUUUGACAGCCUAGUCGUUGCGAUUAUUCGACUCCCAUCAUUGUUAUCAGGAAAGAAAAACCUCAUCUUAUCCCACACCUCUACACUCCACAUAUCAUCCAGUAUUAUGAGAUACCUCCUGCAUAAUAAAUACUUACGUAGUUUGUCUCCUAAAUCUUCCUCACUUAGAUCACCACCCGAAUUUCCACUUACUUGGCGAAGAACUUCUCUAAGUAUUUCUCUAACAUUAUAAGUUUGAGAAAUUGUAGCCCAACCACAAAUAUCAAAAGAUGCUUAACAAGUGCAUGCUCAAAUAUAUGAAGGGCAAGAGUGGUUUACCAAUCCCGCCCAUCCCCGUGAUUGGGAUGAUUUGGCGAUUGCGGUGCCCUCCAGUGAGCCUAUCCAGGAGUUCAAGUGACACAUCGUCAAAGCCCACCAUUAUGCUUUCCUUCACAGUGGAAGAGAACGUCAAGGAGCCAGCACGAGUCGAGGAGACAUUUCUCUGCAGCUGAGCUUCCGCUGCACUCUCCGUGGCUUCUUUCUUGAUCUGAUCCAUUUCUUCAAUCACUUUUUGUACAUCUUGAUACAAGUUAAUCAGUUCAUCAUUGUGAUCUGAUGACUCAUUUUUCGGAUCUCGAAAGCAGUUGAAGAAACAGCUGAUUUUGGCUUCUUUGGAUCUGCUCAGCUGAACCUUCUCCACAAUAUGAGAUUCCAUAGCAUCUUUGGAUCUGCUCAGCUGAGCUUUGUGCACAAUAUGAGAUUCGAUAGCAUCUUCAGCCGCAUAAGCUGCAUCUGUGAUACGCAUCUCCAAUGAAUCAGCUUCAUCUCCAUUAGCAACAGGGGACUUAUAACCUUCAAGAAAUUCCUGCAAGAACAUAACAGUUUCUGUGAGAGAUUGAACUUGUUGUUUGUCGAGAGAAAUUGGAGGGGAAGGAUGAUGCUCGAUAUCAUCGAUGAUAUGCAUAAGAGAAACUAAGGCUGCAUAGGCCGCCAUGAUUGAAGGGAAAACAGUGUAUAUUUUUCUGAGAAUUUCGGUCAAGAAUUUGAUAGAAUCUUAGUUCAGCUUCAGCAAAAACUAUGUGUAAGUCGCAGUGGCUAAGAUAAAAUCACAUUAUUGCCAACAGCUAAGAUAAAAUAAGUCAGUUGGCCCUACAGUUUACUAGUCGUUGACGUAGCCUAGUUACUCUUUUUAAUAGAACAGGUAAAUAAGAAAGCUGCUAAAGUCUUCAAUUUCAUUUUUUUUUAAAGAUGUCAAGUUUUGAAUUUUCACAAGAACCGAUUUGAUGUUAUCUAACUUGAGGCAGAUUAUGUGCACCAAACAUGUAUAUUACUGGCGCUAGCUGUGGUAAAAUGUUGGUUAUACCAAGAUAAUCAUAAGUGUUAUAGACCUGUACAGAUGCAUGUGAAUACUAUCAUAUCUUCCAGCCCCAUAUGCUUCGAUCUCAAUUUUCUUCACAUCCAGAUGUGAAAAUGUAACAGAGAGAAACAUAGGCCUUAUAGAAGCAAGUUUGACCUUUUGGCUGGACAGAGAUCUUUUUGAAAUCGAACUUAUUUAAGGUAUCUCAGAUCUGAAAGCUGUUAUAUUAUUUUUCACCUCCAUAAACUCAAUAACAUACAUAAACUAAGCAUGCUCCUAAACAUCUUCAAGAAACAUACUGCAUAAAUGUAGGCGAGACUGAUCUACGGCUUCAACAUUUGUAGAUACAUCAACGAGGUUGUGAUGCUUCAAGAAACAUACUGCAUAAAAGUAGGCGAGAUUGAUCUACUGCAUAAAACACGCUGAUUUUUAUCAAACAAGGAUUGGAGUUGCUAAUCGAAUUCGUGCCCAAUGUUAACAAUGCCGUUCUAACAGAGUAUUGCUGCGGAAACUCGUUGGGCCCAUUGGCCCAAAGCUACCCAACAGGGAAAAAAAAAGAAAAGGAGUGGGUUGGAUCGGAUUCCUUAAACAGAUGGAGGACGGGCCAACCUGUAGAUGGAAUAUGAUAUACAUAUUUUUUUUAAAUGAUUAGUUCUCAUUUUAAUCUCGUAGUGACUCAAAUUAUCACAGUAAUAGUUCUCAUUUAGUCAUUUUCAUCUCGUAGUGACUCAAAUUAUCAAGUAACUUGCGCUUUAUUGUCGAUAUAAUACAAAAUGUUGAGCUAAAUGUUGUCACUUGUCACUGUAGUACUCCCUCCAUUCAUUGGCCAAAAUUAUAUUUCCUCCAUCCACGAUAUUGUUUCCACCUUUUUAUUUAUACUAGCAUAAAAAAUGUACAAUGUAUGUGUAAUUAAUAUUAUUUUAUUUGAUAAUAUAUUUUAGAAAAUCUAUUAACUCAUUACUUUAAAUAAUUUAUUUAAUAGAUAUAUUUAUUUAUAAGUCUUAUCAAUAGCUAUAGAUAUAGGGAAAAAUUCUAUUGAAAAAGACAAAUAUUUAAAGAAGUGAGAAAAAAUCUCAUCCAUCGAUCAUGAUCCAUCAAAUAGUCCAAUAUUAAGAAUAAAUCUCGCGUCCGGAUUUUAAUGAAUAUAUUAAUAAUUGUGAUGAACAUGUCAGUAAUUUUUUAUGAACGGACGUAUUUGUUGAAAAGAUGUAUUUGUUUAAAAUUUCACACUCCAGGAUUCGAUCCCCAAACGUCCCUAAACGUUCAAUAAAAUUAUUGCUAUGUUCAUAAAAAAAACUAUUGAUAUGUUCAAUGAUCCUAACUUAAAAAAAAAUUAAGUCUCCAUAAAACCUAACCCUAUAAAUAUAUAUCACAUAGAAUAUCUAAUGAAUUAAUAUAUAUUCUUAUAAAUAUGUAAUAUGUAAAAUAAUUUUAAAAUAAAAUAUACAAUAGGGGGUAAAAUAGACAAUCCACAAGUUGUGUCUUACACUGCCUUAGGCUCUUUUUCUAUUAGUAUAGAUAACUGUAGGGUUCACAUAACACUUUAUUUUUUAAUCUCGUACCGUUCACAAAGUGAAAAUAAUAUCGUGGACAGAGAGAAUAAUAUUUUUCUUUUUAGCACAUGGCUCCACCAUCUAAUCUUGUACUUUACUUUUACAAAUACAAUUAUUUUAAUAAAAAAAAAAAAAACCACAUAGCCUACUAACUUUAAUUUANNNNNNNNNNNNNNNNNNNNNNNNNNNNNNNNNNNNNNNNNNNNNNNNNNNNNNNNNNNNNNNNNNNNNNNNNNNNNNNNNUGGCCGGGGCAGAGACGACGAGGCCGGGGGCGAUGGCGGAGGCGACGAGGCCGAGGCGGCGAUCUGAGAUCGAAGGGAGGGAGGGAGAGAGAGAGAGAAGGGGGAAGGGCCGUGAGGGAGAAGAGAGAGAAAGAGAGUGGAGAGAGAGAGUAGUAUAUUUGAAGGAGGAUAUUUUUGUCUUUUCAAUCAAAAAGUAGACAAUUUUUAUUAUUUUUAUCUUAGUGGACAAUUUUUAUCUUUACAAUAUGAAAGUGGAUAGUUUUAUAUAUUAACUCUUUUUUAAUCUUGUACCGUUCACAAAGUGAAAAUAAUAUCGUGGACAGAGAGAAUAAUAUUUUUCUUUUUAGCACAUGGCUCCACCAUCUAAUCUUGUACUUUACUUUUACAAAUACAAUUAUUUAAAAAAAAAAAAAAAACCACCAUAGCCUACACUUAAUUUAUCCUCAACCAUUACAUAAUUUACAUUCACCCAUAAUUUUGUUAAAAUCUAUGCCCAAACAAAAUGCCAUACUGUUGACGAACUAAUGGAGUAUUUACGAUUUACCUUGCUAUUUUUGUCCCACAUGAUUAGCUGAUUUUGCGGUUGUUCAAUGAGACUUGAGAUAUUAAUUUAGAAUUUUGGGGCAUUUUUGCAGUAUCAAACAAAACAAAUACUAAUGGAUUAUGACAACUUGCCAACUUGAAAUGUUUUCCAAAAUUCAUUUCACAUCUACCAACUUAUGAAUCUAUACAUUUUGCAACUAGGAAUGCAACUUGGCUAAUUGCAAUAUCCUCUUGUACAAAACAACCCACAGUUUUGAACCUAGUAAAAAACCAGCAAAUUUGCCACAAAAAUGAGACUAAUUAAGAUUGAGUUGCUAGCCAUUGUGUUAGUAUAAGAAGCUAAAUUAAGUCUAUCAAAUUAUUGUCCAAAAUUCUCAUAAUUAUACUUAGGGCUGUAUACGAACCGAGCCGAGCCGAAUACCUCUAGGCUCGGGCUCGGUUCGUGAAGAUUUGGUUCAGCUCGAGUUCGGCUCGAGCUCGAAUUCGAGCCUAAAAAUGAGCUCGAGCUCGGCUCGCUUAUAUAAUACCAAGCUCGAGUUUGGUUCGAAUUCGGCUCGUUAAUUAUUCGUUUAUCUCGAGCUCGAGCUCGACUCGUUAAUUAUUCGUUUAUCUCGAGCUCGGCUCGAAUUUCAAGCUCGAAUUCGAGAUCGGUUCGAAUUAUUUAUAUAUUAAGGUUUCAUNUUUUUGAUUGUGGCAGACGAAUUUUUCCUACUUGUGGUGACUUUAUAUCAAUUGCAUUUAAUUCGUUUAGUUUUAUUUUUGGUUUGAAGUUUUGAUCAGUUUCUUUUGAUUACAAUUUAUUUCGUAUUUUGUGAUGGAGUAUUUUAUGUUUGCUUUUAUUUGUUUUAUUAUUGUUAAUUUAAUUAUGAGUAGCUAAGCUUUUAAUUCGGCGAGAAUAAUGAAGCAUUAAUUUAAUAAUCCGUGAGACCUAAUUGAGCAUAAAAAUUGAUUCCUAUCAAUUUCGAUUAAUUUCUAGGUUUUAAAGAUAAUUCUGAUUUUAUUUAAGUCUGAUCAACUUAGAUUUAAUUCGAUUACAGUCAAUUAGCACUCCAAUCGUAUUUUGGAUAAGGCUGAUUAGUGAUAAAACUAUCGUGUUCGUAGUAGGAAUUAAUUGGUGUAUUAAUUAUUACUAGCGUAUCUAGGAUAAUUGAUAUAAACUGGGUUCCUUCAUCUUAAUGCUAUUAGAAUAUUAUUAAAUCUAGGUCUGGCAUCUCCAGCUAGGUUAUAUUUUAAUAAGGGAAAUAAGCAGGCCUGGCGUCUCCAGCUGUUUAUCGACACAGUAAGUAGGAAUUGGGGUACGUCCGUUGCGUUUCACGGUAUCCUAUAACUGGUUGGUUGAUAGGGAUUAAUUAAUCUUUGCGUCGAUGAUCAGAGCUUUGAAUUAAUGUGGAUUUAUUUGAGCCGAGUACCUUUUUAUUGAUUAUUUUCUAGAGUUAUUUUAAUUAAUUUAAUUUGCUUUCUUAGGUUAAUUAAUAUUUUCUCAAAUUAAGGCGUGGUGGCAUCACCAAAAUUUAUAGAUUUUUGGGGAAUUGAAUGAUUUUACCUGCUCUCUGUGGGAUCGACCCUGCUUGUCAUUAUACUAAUUAGUUUUGAUAAUUCGGCAGGAAUUAUUUGGUGGAAUACGACUCCACCAGUGUCUCAUGCUUAUAUCUAUUAUUUUAAAAUAUUUUUAUAAAAUAAAAUUUAAUAUAAUAUUAUGAAUUAUAUUAAAUUUUUAUUUCAAAAAUUUAAAUUUUUUAUAAAAAUAAAAUUUAAUAUAAUAUAUACUAUGACUUUGAAUUUAUCAACCUAUUAUUAACUAAUAAAAGUAAAAUUAAAUGAUAAAAAAAUAAUUAUAUACCCUAGAUAAUAAUCAUAAAAUUAAACUAAAGCAUAUAAAGUUGAAAUUGAAGAGAAAAUAUAUAAAAAAAAUAUGAACAAAUUUGAAAGUGGGAUACAAAGUGGGACAUAAAAUGUGGUAUACUGAAUCUAAAUAGGGUUCAUAACACUUUAUCACUUUAUUACAUACUUAAAAUACUAAUCUACAACUCCUUAAAUCCCGUGCCGAAAAGCAAAUGUAUCGUCUUGGCCGGGACGGAGGGAGUAGUACUUUAUUUUUACCAAUAGAAUUAUUUAGAAAAAUAAUCACCACAGCCUACACUUAAUUAAUCCUCAACCAUUUAUGUCCAUACAUUCACCCAUCAUUUUAUUACUUAUGUCCAGCCAAAAUAUCAUACUUUUGAAUUUUGAUGGACUAACCGAGUAUUUACGAUUUACCUUCGAUAUUUUUGUUCCACGUGAUUAGCUGAUUUUCCGGUUGUUCAAUGAGACGAGAGUUAUAUUUGUUCAUUUUUGCAGUGUUGGGAUUUAAACUACUGAGAUAUAUAUCAUACAUACUAUCAGGGGCGGAGCCAGACUUUUGAUUCAGGGGGGUCCAAAAUUUUUUUAACGUAACUUUGAAAGUGUGGCAAAGUAAAUCACUCAUCUUUUAUAAUUUUUGCAAUUUCAUCCCCCAAUUUUUUCGAUUGUCGAAUUGUUAACUUAAAGUUUGUGUGAAUUAUUUCUCCAUGUAAUAUUCAUGUUACGAUGUAUUUUUCAAUAAAAUUACUACAUAUUGAAAAUUAUGGUGCAAAUACAAGAUACAGUCUCUUUCUAAUUUGGAAAAAAAAAUUAAUUGAAAUUGUACGAAACGACGUCGUUUAGGCCUCACAAAAACGACGUCGUCUUUACUAAUCCACGUAAGUUGCAAUUCAACACUCUGACGAUCUAAAAAAAAAUAGGGGACGUAAUUGAAAAAAUUGAAAAAAUAGUGAUUUAAUUCGCCACAGUCAAAAGUCAUGUUAAAAUUACAAAUUUGAAAUAGUUUGUGAUUUUAUUUGCAAAAAUCUCAUAAAACUUUGUAAGAUAAAGUAACUUUCAAUAUCAAAUUAAAAAAAUAAAUCUCUAAAAUCCAAUCCAAUCAUGAUAUGUAUAAAUUAAUUAUGUGUUCACUUCUUCAAAACGUCUUAACUCUAAAUAUUGCAUACCAAUUACAGUUUAAAAUAGCUCAACAUAAUAAUAAUGUAGAUAAAAUUAUAUAUUUUUAUUUUAAUAUAAAAUUAUGAAAAUACCCCUACUAUUUUUAAAAAUCCCAGGGGGGCCCAGUGACCCCCCUGCCCCACCCCUAGCUCCGCCCCUGACUACAACAUGCCAACUUACAAUAUUUUCCAAAAUUCAUCUCACAUCUACCAACUUAUGAAUCUAUAAAUAUUGCAACUAGGAAUGCAACUUGGCUACUUGCAAUAUCUUCUUCUACAAAACUAACCACAGUUUUGAACCUAGUCAGAAACCAUCAAGAUUGGCACCAAAAAUACGACUAAUUAAGAUCGAGUUGCUAGCCAUUGUGUUAGUAUAAGAAGCUCAAUUAAGUCUAUCAAAUUCUUAUCCAAAAUUCUCAUAAUUAUACUCUAUUUCCCUUCAACUGAUAUCGAUCAUGGCAGCCUACGCAGCUUUGGUUUCUCUAAUUCAUAUCAUAGACGACAUCGAGCGCCAUCAUUCCCCUCCAAUUUCUCUCAACAAACAACAAGUUCAAUCUCUCACUGAAAAUGUCACGUUCUUGCAGGAGUUUCUCGAAGCUUAUAUCUCCCCUGUUUCCGACGGCGACGAAGCAGAUCCAUUGGAGAUGCGUAUUGCAGAUGCAGCUUACGCGGCAGAACACGCCAUCGAAUCUCAUAUCGUGGCCAAGAUUCAGCUGAGCAGAUCCAAAGAAACCAUUUGCAGCCACUUCUUCAGCUGCUUUCGAGGGGCAGAGGAUCCAAAAACUGUCUCACCAAAUCAUGAUGAUGAUGAAGAGAUGAACUUGUAUCAAGAUGUGCAAAAUGUGAUACAAGAAAUGGAUGAGAUCAAGAGUUUGGCGAUGCAGAGGAAUACAGAGAAGGUGGUGCUCCAUGAUAAGCGGCGCAGCUUCGUCUCUGCUCCUUCUUCCACUGGGAAGAACAGUAGUGGCACGGUGGUGUGGUCCGAGGGUGUCGUGAAUGGAAUCUUGGAAAGGCUCGUUGCGGACCAACACGAACGCCAAGUCAUCCCGAUCACAGGAAUGGGCGGGAUAGGUAAGACCACUCUUGCCAAAACUGUUUAUUCGAAGCCAAUUAUUGAGCAUCGUUUUGAUAUUCGUGCAUGGGCUACUAUUUCUCAACAAUACAACACAAGAGAAAUUCUUUGUGAACUUGUUUCUCAAGCCACUAAACAAUACAAGGAACAGUUGAGUGAAAGGAGUGAAGAUGAACUAGGAUUAGAGCUCUAUCAGUAUUUGUCAGGUAGAAGGUUUCUAAUUGUGAUGGAUGAUAUGUGGAGCAUCGAUGCAUGGGAUAGGAUACAACGUUUCUUUCCUGAUAAUGAGAAUUGUAGUCGGAUAUUAGUGACGACUAGGCUUUCACACCUGAGUUCCCAAUUGAACAACAAUUAUAUUCAAAUGGAAUUUUUAGAUGAGGUUAGAAGCUGGGAACUUUUCUCCAAAAUUGUGUUUGGGGUUGGGAGUUGCCCUCAUAAGUUAGAGAAAAUGGGAAAGGAAAUUGUAGAGCACUGUAGAGGACUUCCUUUAUCAAUUGUUGUGGUGGGGGGUAUUUUGAAAAAUAUGGAACACACUCUAGGAGGUUGGGAAUCAAUUAGGAAGAACUUAACUUCAAUAGUGAAUUUGGAGAAUGAUAAGCAUUGCUUGAAAGUGUUGAAAAUGAGCUAUAAUCAUUUGCCAAUUUAUUUAAAGCCAUGUUUUUUGUAUAUGGGAGUGUUUGAGGAGGAUGAUUCGGUUAAAGUCUCAACACUCGUGAAGCUAUGGGUUUCGGAAGGAUUUCUAAAGCCAGUGAAUGGCAAAAGUUUGGAAACUAUUGCCAUAGAGUUCUUAAAGGACUUGGUUGAUAGAAAUCUCAUUCUAGUUGGUGGGGGUCUAUGGAAAAUAAAAUUAUCAAAAUUCAUGAUUUGUUGAGGGAUUUAUGCUUGAACCAGGGCAAGAGAGAUGGGUUCUAUCAUGUGAUAGGGCAAUCUAGUCCUCGGGAGAAGUAGCCAACGCCGCGUUUUAUACGUAGGAGCACUCCCAAGAAAAGUCCUUGAUGACUUGCAAUCUAUGCCAUGUGCUCGUUCCGUUUCAGUGAAUAUGGGAAAGUCCCGGGGAGUAAGAACUCUGGAUGCUUAGAACAUUCAUGCAUAUAAGUUUCGUUAUUAUGAUGAUGAAAGCUAGUGAUCUCCCUUGGUCUCAGUUGUUAACUGCGCCACCUUGCUGUUGAAGUUGGUAGCAUGUCCUCGAUCUUUUCCUCCUUCAGCCGCUCUGGAAUCUACACACAUUGAUCGUUUCUUGUGAGAAGGAAUUCACUGCCCUGCUGAGAUUUGGAGAAUGCCUCAACUUAGGCAUAUUGAAAUGACUGAAAGAAGUUUUUGUCUUCCAGAACCUUCGAGUGAUGAUGUCGUCGUUAUGGAGAAUUUACUGGUGCUUGAGCGAGUGCGUAAUUUCAAGUGCAGUGAAGAGGUGGUCAAGAGAAUUCCCAAUAUCAAGAAACUGGGGAUG
This 14198-nucleotide long non-coding RNA is filed under the name Salvia miltiorrhiza (redroot sage). RNAcentral describes it as "long non-coding RNA (SMIL_LNC004894)". The record is from RNAcentral. Lineage: Eukaryota; Viridiplantae; Streptophyta; Magnoliopsida; Lamiales; Lamiaceae.